Cucumis melo (muskmelon) is the source of this 86-nucleotide non-coding RNA. The record is from Rfam. NCBI's taxonomy places the organism in Eukaryota, Viridiplantae, Streptophyta, Magnoliopsida, Cucurbitales, Cucurbitaceae.
UUUGGGAAGUGAUGACAAACUAGAAAAAUUUCUCAGAUGCAGCUGCUAUGCUGAACUUAGUAUUUGCACGUCAGUCUGAUCCCAUU